GCACAGGUGAACGUUUAGUUUGUAUCUUACGGAGAAGCUCCGAGAGCAUGAAGGGCACUGAAAUGGCUUUUCGGCUGUGUGGGUGCACAGGUGCUUCGUAAGGCUGCUAUUUUCUGCGAAGCUCAGGGAGCAUGAAGGGCACUUGUAUGGCUUCUCGCCUGUGUGGAUGCGCAGGUGGACUUUCAGGUGACCCUUGUGUGAGAAGCCCUGAGAGCAUGAAGGGCACUGAUAUGGCUUCUCGCCUGUGUGGGUGCACAAGUGAACUCUUAAG
Molecule: long non-coding RNA, 271 nt
Filed under: Dermacentor andersoni
Lineage: Eukaryota; Metazoa; Arthropoda; Arachnida; Ixodida; Ixodidae
Description: uncharacterized LOC126526442
Source: RNAcentral